RNAcentral lists this long non-coding RNA (2591 nucleotides) under Canis lupus familiaris (dog). RNAcentral describes it as "lncRNA (ENSCAFG00000052763.1)". The record is from RNAcentral. Lineage: Eukaryota; Metazoa; Chordata; Mammalia; Carnivora; Canidae.
UUUUUUUCAUGAGAGACAGGGAGGCAGAGACACAGGCAGAAGGAGAAGCAGGCUCCAUGCAGGGAGCCUGAUGUGGGACUGUAUCCUGGGACCCAGGAUCAUGCCCUGAACCGAAGGGAGACACUCAACCACUGAGCCACCCAGGCAGUCCUAGUGGCCAUUUCUAAGAACCAGAUCACAGAUGGAGCUGUUUCUCCUGCCAAUCUGCCCGCAGGCCCACCAGGGAUGCGGUCCACCCUUCUGGCCAAGAAUAAGUCACACACAGAUUUCCACAACAUUCUUUAAAAAUAUAUGUGUAUCUCAUGCUAGCAAUAGUGUCUGGCUCCAAAAGAAAAGUCAGAUAAGGAAAUCAGCCAACAGGUAGGCAUUCAUUAGGUGAACAAGUAUAUGCAAGACUACAUAUAGGAAAAGCACACUUUGCAAUUCCUCACCUCAAAGAGCCUACAGUUUAAUUUGGAGUCAUAACAUCCCACAGCGCAGACAUCCCCACACACUUCACAUACUUAAGAGCAGCGCAAGUUUGAGAAUUCCAGGUAACAUUUGACCUACCAGACAAUGCAAAAACCUUCUGGGGCAAAAAAAUUUGAGAAAAACGAUUGGCAUACUUUUAUAUUUUUUUUUCACCUGAUGGUCCAGAUAACCAGAAAGCCCUAUUGCUACCAAAUACCUAGAAAUUCUAGAUAAAAUAUUAAAAAGCCCUGCCUAAUGCCGAGGGGAGCAAACAAGAAAAUUAAGACAUGUUACAGGAGCCAAGAAUAGGAAUGGAAACAUAAGGAUAAAACACUGUAGAAAAUCAACAAGCAGACUUGUAAUAUGAUGAAGUAGUUUUCCUGAAAGCUAAAAAUAAAGUCAAUGAAAUGAAAAACUUGAUGGUUAAGUUGUAGAUGACAGACUAAACAUGGCUGAAGAGAUAAUAAGGGAACUGGAGCUAGAUCUGAGAAACUUUGCAAAAAUGUAGCCUUGAGAAGCUGAAAACAUGAAAAAUUAAAGAGUAAGAGACUGGGGAGAGACUAAAGGGUCCUACAUACAUGCACCUACAGACCUAGAGGGAGAGAACAGAGGAAGGUGAGUAGACAACAGGAGGAAAGGUAACAGCUAUGAUUUUCUAGAACAGAGGAAACAGAUCUUGCUAACUAGAAAGCACAAGUAAGACAAUUUAAAAAAAACCACACCUCAACACUUCAUGACAAAUUGCAAAACAUCCAAGACAAACAGAAGUCUUUGGGGAAAAAAAAAGAAAGAAAGACGGGAGAAAGUAGACAAAUAUGUUCAAAAUAUUAAGAGAAAAUACAUGGCUUGGGGCACUUGGGUGGUGCAGUCAAUUAAGCAUCUGCCUUCGGCUCAGGUCAUGGUCCUGGGGUCCUGGGAUCAAGCCCAGCAUCAGGCUCCCUGCUCAGUGGGAAGUCAGCUUCUCCCUCUCCCUCUGCUGUUUCCCUGCUUGUGCUGUCAAAUAAAUAAAGAAAGAAAGAAAAUACACAGCUAAAUUCUUGCUCAAAAGUGACAGUAAGGGGCACCUGGCUGGUUCGGUCAGUAGAGCACACAAUUCUUGAUCUUGAGGUUGUAAGUUCAAGCCCCACAUUGGGUGUUUAGAUGAUCUAAAAAUAAAAUCUUUUUUUUCAAGGAUUUUAAUUUAUUUAUUCAUGAGAGACACACAGAGAGAGAGGCAGAGACAUAGGCAGAGGGAGUAUGGGGAGCCUGAUGCAAGACUCGAUCCCAGGACCCCAGGAUCACAACCUGAGCUGAAGGGAGAUGCUCAACCACUGAGCCACCCAGGUGCCUCUAAAAAUGAAACCUUAAAAAAAAUUCUUUUUAAGUGAAGGUAAAAUAAAGACAUUUUCCAACAAAGUGUGUACCACUGAUACCCUCUGUGAGGGGAUUGCUUAAAGGAUGUAUUUUAGGAAGAAAAUAGAACCCAGAACAAAGAACAAUGCAAAGCCACAUAGGAAGUAAAGAUGUCAGCAAAACUCUGGAUAAAUCUAAACAAGCAUUGACAGCAUACAGAAAUAAUAAUUUUUGAAAAAUAAUAAUUAGCUGAAGGGAUAUAAAAGAGGAAAGUGGAACUAAAAUGCUUGGCAACAUGAACAUGUCAGAUGGACAGUGUGAUCAGAGUUACAGCUUCCCAAAGCUCUUACAUUGUUUGGGAGGAGGCUAGGGAUUUUGUCAAGUCAAGUAUGCUAAUGCCCACACAUUAAUUUUAAAAGAUAAUUAAAAGGAAAAAUAGAAUACGUAAUUUCCAAACCUGUAGAGAUGAUAAAAGUGAAUAUAGAAAUCUCAAGAACUUCAGGUUAAAAACAAUAGAUUAAACCACUGUUCUCUCUCUGCUUCCUCCUGGAAACACUUUAAAGAUAAUAUUGACACAAAUAAGUGAGUUUAGCAAGGUUGCAAGAUAAAUGACCACUAUACAAAAAAUCGUGUGUAUUUCUAAAUGCUAGCAUUGGAACUUGGAAUUUUAAAAAACACUAUUUACAAUAGCACCAAAAAAUAUGAAAUGCAUUUUAAAAAUGUGAUAAAAGAUGUAUAAGACCUGUAAACGGAAAACUACAAAACACUGCUGAGAGAAAUCAAAGACCACCAAAAAAAUGGAGAGAUAG